GGCGCUGUGGCUUAGUGGUAGAGCGCUAGCCUUGAGCUGGAGAGCUCAGGGACAGUGCCC
This 60-nucleotide transfer RNA is filed under the name Dipodomys ordii (Ord's kangaroo rat). The record is from Rfam by way of RNAcentral. Lineage: Eukaryota; Metazoa; Chordata; Mammalia; Rodentia; Heteromyidae.